GAGUGUGAUCAUACCAUCAUUAAUGUACCGGAUCCCAUCGAAACUCCACAGUUAAGCGGGCUUGGGCUAAAGUAGUACUGGGAUGGGUGACCUCCUGGGAAGUCCUAGUCUUUCACCCU
Picea glauca (white spruce) is the source of this 119-nucleotide non-coding RNA. NCBI's taxonomy places the organism in Eukaryota, Viridiplantae, Streptophyta, Pinopsida, Pinales, Pinaceae. The record is from Rfam.